AUUGAACGCUGGCGGCAGGCCUAACACAUGCAAGUCGAACGGUAACAGGAAGAAGCUUGCUUCUUUGCUGACGAGUGGCGGACGGGUGAGUAAUGUCUGGGAAACUGCCUGAUGGAGGGGGAUAACUACUGGAAACGGUAGCUAAUACCGCAUAACGUCGCAAGCCCAAGGAGGGGGACCUUCGGGCCUCUUGCCAUCGGAUGUGCCCAGAUGGGAUUAGCUAGUAGGUGGGGUAACGGCUCACCUAGGCGACGAUCCCUAGCUGGUCUGAGAGGAUGACCAGCCACACUGGAACUGAGACACGGUCCAGACUCCUACGGGAGGCAGCAGUGGGGAAUAUUGCACAAUGGGCGCAAGCCUGAUGCAGCCAUGCCGCGUGUAUGAAGAAGGCCUUCGGGUUGUAAAGUACUUUCAGCGGGGAGGAAGGGAGUAAAGUUAAUACCUUUGCUCAUUGACGUUACCCGCAGAAGAAGCACCGGCUAACUCCGUG
This 490-nucleotide ribosomal RNA is filed under the name uncultured bacterium. Its description in RNAcentral is "partial 16S ribosomal RNA". It matches the Rfam family "Bacterial small subunit ribosomal RNA", at positions 30 to 507 of the family's 1533-position model. The record is from RNAcentral.